Molecule: long non-coding RNA, 375 nt
Organism: Chionomys nivalis (European snow vole)
Lineage: Eukaryota; Metazoa; Chordata; Mammalia; Rodentia; Cricetidae
Exons: 3
Source: RefSeq, a predicted model, not a curated record
UGUCGGUUCCCCCACCCCACCCCCGAACACGGUGAACGCGGGCCGGCCCGGACAUUCGGGGCGACGAAAACGAAAUUUCAUGUACAUUGGUGUUUAGCCUGCACGUAUGUCUAUAAGAGUGUUGGAUGUUGGAUUCCCCUGGACUGGACUUGGAGACAAUUGUGAGCUGCCAUCAACAGAACCCUGAUUAAGGCAUUAGAUUGGCCUUGUUGGAGGAAGUGUGGUCAAGACACAGCCUCAUGUCCAUCCACUUCCUGCUGCCUUCUAAUCAAAUUGUAGCCAGCACCAUGUGUGUCUGUAUGCCAACAUGCUUCUGCCGUGAUAAUGAACUAAACAUUUGAAAAUAUUCAAAUAAAUAAAUGUUUUCCUGUAAAA